GUGCCAGCCGCCGCGGUAAUACGUAGGACGCGAGCGUUAUCCGGAUUUAUUGGGUUUAAAGGGUGCGUAGGCGGACCUAUAAGUCAGUGGUGAAAGACUGUUGCUUAACGAUAGCAUUGCCAUUGAUACUGUAGGUCUUGAGUACAGUUGAGGUAGGCGGAAUGUGUAGUGUAGCGGUGAAAUGCUUAGAUAUUACACAGAACACCGAUUGCGGAGGCAGCUUACUAAGCUGUAACUGACGCUGAUGCACGAAAGCGUGGGGAUCAAACAGGAUUAGAAACCCUGGUAGUCC
RNAcentral lists this ribosomal RNA (292 nucleotides) under uncultured bacterium. RNAcentral describes it as "partial 16S ribosomal RNA". It matches the Rfam family "Bacterial small subunit ribosomal RNA", at positions 505 to 796 of the family's 1533-position model. The record is from RNAcentral.